UACGGAGGGUGCAAGCGUUAAUCGGAAUUACUGGGCGUAAAGCGCACGCAGGUGGCUGAGUCAGUCGAUUGUGAAAGCCCUGGGCUUAACCUGGGAAUUGCAGUCGAUACUACUCAGCUAGAGUAUGGGAGAGGGUAGUGGAAUUCCCGGUGUAGCGGUGAAAUGCGUAGAUAUCUGGAGGAAUACCGGUGGCGAAGGCGGCAUCCUGGACCGACAUUGACGCUGAACGGCGAAAGCUAGGGGAGCAAACGGG
RNAcentral lists this ribosomal RNA (253 nucleotides) under uncultured bacterium. RNAcentral's name for it is "partial 16S ribosomal RNA". It matches the Rfam family "Bacterial small subunit ribosomal RNA", at positions 524 to 776 of the family's 1533-position model. The record is from RNAcentral.